Non-coding RNA from Manis javanica (Malayan pangolin), 5707 nucleotides. The record is from RefSeq and is a predicted model, not a curated record. NCBI's taxonomy places the organism in Eukaryota, Metazoa, Chordata, Mammalia, Pholidota, Manidae.
GACACUGCAUGAUUUUCCCUAGAUUCAAAAGCAAACUGCAGACUUCAUCUUCUGGCCAAGAUGGAGUAACAGGCACGAGAUUACCCUCCCAUCUGAAACAACGACAGCGGCAAGAGAGACAAAACAUACGGGACAGUGUUUUCAAGACACUAAACAUCAGGCAGUGAAAGACAGCUGUCCCUGCAAGAUGGAAACAAAUGAGAGACUGCUCCCUCUUAGCCUCUGUGGCUGGUUGCUCUGCUGCCUUUACCCUCUCAGUGGUGGACUGGUUGAGGCUCACUUUUUGGAUAACUUCCAUGCUGCAUUUAUUCUCUUUUGUGAUCUCACCCAGCCCCACAGGAUUGAAAACAUUGGAAAGACAGUUUUUGACAAGCUACCAUUCUCAGGACACUGCACAUAUAGCCAACUGAAACAUACUCCUAUUCUUCCUGUGACCACUCCUUCAAGACUGGGAGAAACAGCUGUUUUGCCUAAUACAUAGAAACAAUACAGAGUCCAGCAAAAUGUGGAAACAUGCAAAAUAACAAGAUGAAACCCCAGGAUAAAAAACCCUUAAUGAAACAGGUUAAAAGCAAUUAUGUGAAAAGCCUUUUGUGUGGAAGAAGCCCUCUGUGUUGACUUUCAAAAAUCAGCACAUCUUUACUGUUACCAUUUUACUCUUUGAAGAAAAGGAGUGAAGGUCAUGGGAAAAAUCAGUGUCUGAUAAACCUGGUAAGUCAGGGGUAAUGGACUGAUCGCUGGUGAAGAAGGAGCUGGACACCUGACGUCAGGGACUCUGCCUCUGAAGGAAAUCUUCUGAUGUUAAAGUUGGGUGGAAGGCGAAAAGGAUGAAUAAGAAGGCCCUGGGCUAUUUGAAAGCAUCCAAAAGGAGGCUGCAGGGAGUCCCUGGGAGGGAGAGCCAGGUCUUCCCAAGCCAGGCUAGCCUUGUGGGUAUGGGCCAUGUAGUCCCACAGGGCCCCAAGCUCAAAAGAGCCCACAGUUUGGUUUCAUGCUUUCCUGUGGCCAUACAAAAAUGCCUGUAAAUUUUCUAACAAAAGUCCUGCCAUCUUCAUGCAUGGGGGCCCACACAUGAUGUAGUUGUCCUGUUCCCCCUACUUCCAUGGCUUACCUGGCCUUCCAUCUGAGGGGUUAGCACAUCCCUGUGUGUCUCUAAGCCCUCAUCCCCAAGGACCCUGCUGACACACCAUUAGAUUAGGAAAUGAAAAGCUGUUCAGCAGUGAACUUGCUGUAAAGAGGGCGGAAGAGUUGGGGAAUAUGCUUUUUGCAAAAUGUGAGUAUUGAACAUUGGUGUAUUGUUAAAAUAUAGGUAAUAAUUUAUAAGCUAACUGGACACUCAGUUCUUAAAAAAAUUAUAAAGCAAGAGAGAUGGAAUGUCAGAGGCAUAAUUCUUGCCCAUGAUUCUGGAUUUUGGAGUUUACGGCAAAGCUGACGAACCUGCUGAAUUUUUCUCUUUGCUUCCCCUCCACCAUGCCCAGAUGCUUUUCUGGCAACUAAUUAUUUUCUUCUUAGGAGUGGAUGAGGCAGUAUAAAAGCAGUGAUUGGGGGAGAAGAGGAACAACACUUAUUGAUUGUCUAUCACAUGCCAGGUGUUGUGCUAAGGGCUUUAAGUAGAGUUUCUCAUUUAUUCCUCACAAUGGCCCUGUGGGUGGGUAGUAUUAUCUUCAUUUUGCAGACAAAGAAAACUGGGCUUAGUGAACUAACUAACUUGACCAAUCACACAUAUAAUAAGUGGCAAAAAAGGAUAUAACCCUGGUCUGCCUGUCACCAAUUGCCUUGUUAUUUUUAGUGUAAUAUUGUCCACCAACUAGACACUGAGACAGAUGAGGAAAUUUUUCAUUAUUAUAUUCCAGGCACUGUUCUAAAGGCAUCCCAUGACUUGACUCAUUUAAUUCUCACAAUGAAAGUUGAAUUCAUUUCUGUAAGGACUUGUAGCAGAUAAGUGUUAGAACCAGGAUUCAAAGCUAAAGAGUCUGAUUGCAAAGACAAAACCAUCAGCCAUUAUAUGAUGCUGCCUCUUCUAAGAAAAACUAGGGCAUGGGGAGAACAAACUUGCUUGAUUAAAUAUGGAAAAAGCCAACGGUGAUUUCCAGGCUUCAUGUUUCAUGUUUGAGCACACGGAGGGAAGGUGAUGUCAUUUAAUAAACUGUGAAAUACGGAAGGAUGAGGUGCAGGUCUCAGGGACACAGCUGUGACAUCACUUUUGGACAUGUUGAGUGGGGUGCUUGCAAGACAUCCAUGAUGAUGCUGUACAGCAACUUCUUUAAAGGGUUGUUGUGAACAACUUAUUUAAAGGGUUGUUGUGAGGGCUGAAUGAGUUAAUAUAUGCAAAGUGCUUAGAAUGGUGCCUGGUGCAGAAUAAGUGCUCUGUAUGUGUUUGCUAUUAUUAUGGCCCAGUGAACAACUGGGCCUUCAUGGAGCAAAGAAGAUUAUUAUGACCCAGUAAGCAAGUGGGUCAAAUGGGCCUAAGAAGAGGGAUCUUGGCUACACUAAUAAAUCAAGAGUUCUGAACUGAUAGAUGACAAUGGAAACCACGAGAGAAAAGGAGAUCUCUUAAGGAGAAAGGAAAGAAUGAGAAGAGGAAGAGGGGAGAUACUUAGGAAGCAAGCAUCUUGAUAGAUGUAUAAAUUGUCUUUGAGGUAUUGGAUAAAGGCUGGUCAUGGCCAUUAGAAAGUUUCUGCAGUUGCAACAGAAGGGAAACUCAUUUUUGUAUUUGCAAUAAAGCACUGAGUCUUUGACCAAAAUAGACAAUUACUUAUAUGGUAACCAAUGCAAUCAGAAAUCACAUUAAUUAAAUGAAAUAAUAUGAAGGCAAACUCUUAGAGAAAGGGAACCACAGCUAACCGAAGUGUUGUGUUCAGCACCCAAACCUACUGGUCACCAGGGUCCGUGCUCAGCAUCACCGUACACUGGUAAUUCUCUAGCCUUUCGAUUAUCUUCCAACCAGAGUAUGGUGCCCAAGCCUCUAUGUGGUCAAGUGUCCUGAUCUUCAAGAGCCGCAUGGUCUAGUUCAAAGCACUGAACACACACUCACCGCGCCUCCCCCCACCACACUCACUCAGUGUCUUCUGACUGAUGCCUUUGCUAGUGAUCCUGGGGGAUUCCUCCUGACCUCCAGGGCUCAGUACGGACUUCCUUCAAAAGGUCUUCCAUGCUGUUGCUCGGGGUUUGUUGUGCCUCCGUGGCUCCUGACCCUUGCCUCUAUCAUAGCACCUACUUUCCUGUCUUCCUGAUUAGACUAUAAGCUGACAUCAGAGGUAGUUUCAUUCCUAGCCCCAGGAUCUAGCACAAAUGCCUCUCAUAAGUGCUCCAAGACUCAUUUGAAAAAUUGAUUCCUGGAAAACCCGUUUUUAAUUUCAGCAUUUAGUAUAAAGUCAGACUCACUUCUGUUCCUAAUGAGACUCAGGUAGCAUGUGGGGGUUCGGUGCUCUGGGCCUCUCUUGGCUCAGGAUGGAGUUAGGUUUUCUUAGUCAACUUUGUUGAGGUAUAAUUUGCAAACAUUAAAAUACACAUUGGUUUUAAGCAUACCGACCAAUGAGUUCUGAAAUUGUAUAUACGUGUAUAGCCACCACCAAAAUGAAGACAGUACAGAUCACUUCAUCCACCCAAAAGGUUUCCUUUCAUGCGCCACAGUUAAUCUUCUGCUUACUUCAUGUUGGAAGCUUUAGAUGCACAGAUGAGAUGGGAUGGGCCAUUCCCAGGUUUCAUGAAGUAAAUGAUGACAGCUAACCAGGAUGACUGCUCUCACAUAAGUGGUGGGAUGCCUGGUUUGGCAGCCAAGAAAAAGAAUAAAAAAAGCUGCCUCAGGCAGGAAGCAUAUUGGCACAGUCAGGAAGGCAGGAACUUGAACCUGGGGUCAUUUGUCUGGAACAGAGGCUUUGGGUCUGGAGACGACAAUGCAGGGGAUGCGCUGAGAGUUGGUGGGGGUAGGAAUGCAGGUGCCCACACACUGGGGAACACCGCAGGUGUCUCAGGUCCUUCCUGGCCUUCUGUGCCUGCCCAAGGAGGGGCGAGACUACUCAUGGGCUCUGGAACCUCGCCACCCCUGGUCACAUAAACAGGCAAUGGAGGGCUAGCUUCUGAGCCACAUGGCCACUCCGGCUAGUUCUCUGCCCUCUUCACCUCAGACAUCUCCCCUCACACCCCUGCCGUGUCAGACCCCCAGGGCAGCUAGGAUCUGCGUCCUGCCUGUGCUGGCUUGCCCUAUCUUUUAUUCAGGCCCAGUCGUCUCCAUGAAUGGAGAAAGAAACCUUCAGGACAAAAAAGUAGCAGAAGGAGGCUGUAUUGGCCUGUUACUUUGAAUUUUAACCAAAAUUUUCUGCAGAAAUGGCAAUAUAAUUUCAAAGCAUAAUCCAGAGGCUUUUUGGUUCAUGUCAGCAGACUUCAGCAGACAGGAUUUUUUUUUUCAAAACAAGUCACAUUAAAAGAGGGAGCAUACAUCAACCUGAAAUUUUUCAUGGAGAAAUGUUUUAUCUGUGUCUGUAAGGAACACCCUCCUUAGAAGACAAAAGUUAGCAGCUUAUGUCUUCUAAUAAUUUUGUGAACAGUAGACACAACCCCUUUUGAUAUCUUCCCAGUACAAGGGUAGGUUAGAACAUCAGCAGCAAUACAGAGAUCCGAACAUGCUAACCUUUAUGAAAAGGGUGCUGUCAUCAUUCUCCCAGAUCUUCCUCAGCAAAUCAAAUGCUGACUGCAAUGUAAGCCACAAGUAGAACUCCACAAAAGGCAUGCUCUUCACAGGGACUUCAGGACUGAGUAAGGCCAGUAUCCCCCAGAUGCACGUUCUGACUCUGAUGAGAACUGGCCAUGUGAAUCUGGGAGCAUCAUUUUCCUUAAUGAAUCUGAUUCUUCAUCCUCUCCUGUAAAAGUGUUACCUAAAUUUUUAAGACUCAUGUUGUGUUUCUUUUUUCCAAUGGGGAGUACUUGUUCUUCAGAAGAAACUACAAUUUUAUCAUCUGUAAAAUGGGGAUAAUUAUAGCUUCUGCCUCAUAGUGUUGUUAUGAGAGUUAAAUGAAUGAAUUCACACAAAACAAUUAGCACAGAGCUUGCAUGUAGUACCAGGACUCAAUAAAUGUUAGCUACGAUGAUGCUACUGCUAAUGAUGACGAUGAUUGCAAGAAAAUAAGGGAAUUCUCUAACGAUGAACAACAAAGAGGGGGCCUAAAAUGGCGUGGUGAGUGCUAGGCCUAGGGGACGGGAAAGUGCAGCUUCUGGUGUGGUGACUUCAGGGGCUGGGUCUUAACAGGAACGUGUGGACUCAGGCCCAGAACUGAAUAAUAUUUCCACAUAAGGUUGGAGUCCUUGAAAGCCUCCGAAUGUUGGGGUAGGGGUAAAACAAACAAUAUUAGCAUGGGGAUGGCAAGGAUCCUCAUCUGUCCUGCCCUGGGCUCUGGAUGGAAGAGUUAUGUCUGCCCAGGGAAUCUGUCAUAACAGGCCUGGGCUGCAAGUGGGUUUGGGGUUCAGAUGUAUGAUUCAUUCCUGGGGCCCCUGCAAACACAGAACUGCUCUUAGAGGAACAUGCUGUCACCUUAGGCCACCUAAGAGGUCCAAAAUCCAUGUUUCCCUGCUGAAGAUGUGCUCAUAAUGCAGAACUACCAAGCUUGCAAGGGAACAACCUACGUCCUCUUAGGUCCUGAUGAACUAAAAGCCAUCAUCCAAGUAAAGAGAGGUCAUGGUACAAUUCAGCUUAACAUAACUUAAAAGGCAGGAA